UGGGGAAUAUUGGACAAUGGGCGAAAGCCUGAUCCAGCCAUGCCGCGUGUGUGAAGAAGGUCUUCGGAUUGUAAAGCACUUUAAGUUGGGAGGAAGGGCAUUAACCUAAUACGUUAGUGUUUUGACGUUACCGACAGAAUAAGCACCGGCUAACUCUGUGCCAGCAGCCGCGGUAAUACAGAGGGUGCAAGCGUUAAUCGGAAUUACUGGGCGUAAAGCGCGCGUAGGUGGUUUGUUAAGUUGGAUGUGAAAUCCCCGGGCUCAACCUGGGAACUGCAUUCAAAACUGACUGACUAGAGUAUGGUAGAGGGUGGUGGAAUUUCCUGUGUAGCGGUGAAAUGCGUAGAUAUGGGAAGGAACACCAGUGGCGAAGGCGACCACCUGGACUAAUACUGACACUGAGGUGCGAAAGCGUGGGGAGCAAACA
Molecule: ribosomal RNA, 427 nt
Filed under: uncultured bacterium
Lineage: Bacteria
Description: partial 16S ribosomal RNA
Rfam family: Bacterial small subunit ribosomal RNA
Source: RNAcentral